This 489-nucleotide unclassified non-coding RNA is filed under the name Hevea brasiliensis (rubber tree). Lineage: Eukaryota; Viridiplantae; Streptophyta; Magnoliopsida; Malpighiales; Euphorbiaceae. The record is from RNAcentral.
GAAGAAUUCAUGCUCCAAAAGAUGAUAGAGAUCUUUAACAUCCUGAGUUGCGCAGCUCAGGACUCCUUUAGACACCAGUUCAGAAAGAAGAUUUGCCCUUGAAAGCACAUCUCUACUUUCAAGUUUGGAGUCUAAAUUGAACCCUAUAAGAUUCGCCAUCCUCAAAUUUCGCUCUUUCUCAUGUUCAAGUUCUAAAUGAGAAGCACCAUGCUUAGAGUCAUAGGGGGACACUGCAAGAGAUGCUAAAAGAACAGACGAAGCUAUCAGCUGCAAAUCCUUCUGGCUUAGAUUUUUGUUGAAACUCUUCUGAAGGGAGAAAAGUUUAAGCCAUGCAUAGGCAUGAUAAAGAUUGCUAUUGGAUAUCCAGAAGAUCUCGGUUAAUUUGACGUAAUACACCACCAUCAAGGAUGGUUUAGGUGUUUUCUUCACCAUGCACAUCAAACCAUGAAUAUCUUCCACAGAACGAAAAGCUUCCUGCCAGAGCUCAAG